This is a long non-coding RNA of Brassica napus (rape), 2174 nucleotides long. RefSeq lists it as uncharacterized. Lineage: Eukaryota; Viridiplantae; Streptophyta; Magnoliopsida; Brassicales; Brassicaceae. The record is from RefSeq and is a predicted model, not a curated record. The transcript has 2 exons.
UGUAACAUGACUUUAUAGGAAUAGGUCCAUUAGGUCCAUUUUAAAAAAAUCACACAUGAAUCAAGGUUGUGACUUCUGUUUUAAUAUAUAAGAUUCAAAGAUGUGAUUAGGGAGUGGGAAAUUGAUUUUUAAUAUUAAAAUUAAAAUAUUAAUAUUAUAAUACAAUUUGUGUUUUUUAAUUAAGUAAAAGAUUAAUAUUAAAAUAUAAAAUUGUGCUUUUUAAUUAAAAUUGAUUUUAAUCUUCCCUCACUUCUCAUAAGGAUUUAUAGAAAAUCAAUUUUAAUUAAAAAGCACAAAUUGUAUUAUAAUAUUAAUAUUUUAUCUGUUUAGAACUUAUUUUUUAGAAACAAUCCAAUAAGAGCUUGUUUAAUGGGGGGUUCUUAGGGUGAAGUUUUUAGCGGAAUAUAAGAACAUGUCUAUUAACUUUUAACUAAAAAAACUAAGAACCGGUUCUUAAAUACUCUAAGUUUAUAGACCCGACAAACUCGACAGCUGCUACUCUGUAGGGAUAUGUUUUUUACUUAUAGACCCGACAAACUCGACAGCUGCUACUCUGUAAGUCUGUAUCCAUUUCUAUUGUUUUUGGCGCUAGUUGCUUCUCCUUGGAGGCCUGGUCACGAUCAACGUGAAUCUCAAGUGUCAUUUGUCCCCGUAGAAAAAGAAUUAUACGUAAUUGCAUUGUAUUGGUCGAAACGUAAAGAUGUAUAUAGAGAAGAGAGCAUGUCCAUCGGGAGUCCUUAACAUAAGGUUCCUAACAAAAGUGAAAAAAAAAUUAAAUCGAAAAGCCCAAAUAAAUGAGGAACCGCUGCCUAAACUAGGCUUUUUAGAUUUGUUAAGAAGCCCUAUCGUGUCGCCUUCUCAUUGGACCGCCCAUCUAUUGCUCUCUCUCUCCUUCGUCGCGAGAAAUCAGAAGUUUUUCCUCUUCAUUCUCGACUUCUCCUUUUCUCGACAUCUCCGUCGUCGCUCUCGAAUUUCGUCAUCCCUGUCUUGAAUCUCGUUGUCUCUCUCUUGAAUCUCGUCGGCCCUCUCUCGAACCUGGUUGUCUCUCUCUCAAACCUCGUCAUCUCUCUCUCGAACCUCGUCGUCUCUCGCUCGAAUUACGUCGGCUCUCUCUCAAAUCUGGUCGCCUCUCUCUCGAACCUUCUCGUCUCUCUCUCGAACCUCGUCGUCUCUCUCUCUCGAAUCUCGUCUGGAAGAUCGUCUUGAUCUCUUUAUCAGUAAGAAAUCAUCCUUUUGAUUUGAUCUUUAUGUUACUGAUGUCUCGAUUUUGGUGUAUCUCCCAUUCCCUGUUCGUGAUCCUCUGUUUUGUCUUCUUCCUCCAGAGGUUAUGAUGAAGGUCAGAAGAUAGAAGCUUCAAAAGAAAGCAAGGAUGGAGGGAAGGACGAAACUCAUACUAGAUGGAAGAAGAAGAAGAAGAAGCAAGAUAAGUUCGAACAUCCUUUGUCUUUUCAAAAAUAACUUUUAAAUUAAAACUGAUGUCGAUGGUGAUUUUUUGAUAAUAUUGAGGAAGGUGAAAUCUGUUAGAUUACUAGUCUUUGUGGUGCUAUCUAGAUUGUGGUAGUCUCUGUUUUGUAUAAUGUUUGCGAUGGUGGAAUGAUUGUUUGUGGAAAUCGAUAUGCUUAAGUUCUUACUUAUUAGUCUUAAUAAAAUUGGUUAAGGCUCUGUGGUAGUAUCUGAAUUGUGCUUCACAUGAUCACUAGAAGUUGUUUUAGUUUUCUGUUUGAGUGUUUCGUUUAUCUCUUUACAUAGAACAAGCUUUUAAUUAUAUUUUGUUUGUUGGUUGUGUGAGGGUUGAGGAUGUGCGUGGAAGAAAGGCAACGGAAUUGUGCUCAACGUACAUGAUCACAUCAAAGCUUUUGUCUUUCAUUUCACAGUUGAGAAGAGAUGGAGCCAAGACGUAAACAACUUGUGACAGAAUAAAGCCAAUACGUAAACAACUUGUGACACAAUAAGCCAAGACAAGCACAACUUGUGACAGAAGGAGCCAAGACCGAAGACAUGUGACACAAUAAGCCAAGAUUUUGUUGUCUCAAUUUAAAAAAAAAAAAAUUCUCUCUUGAGCUAUGUUUUCUAUAAGUUGUGUGUCGUCCAACCCAUUUGUUUCACAGAAAACACAUUUGUUCAAACAUAUUGUAUUUCUCUUAUAAUCUCACCAAUCCGGUUUGGGUUUGUAA